This 351-nucleotide ribosomal RNA is filed under the name Penicillium coprophilum. Its description in RNAcentral is "eukaryotic LSU rRNA". The stretch from base 1 to 125 matches the Rfam family "5.8S ribosomal RNA", at positions 29 to 154 of the family's 154-position model. Lineage: Eukaryota; Fungi; Ascomycota; Eurotiomycetes; Eurotiales; Aspergillaceae. The record is from RNAcentral.
UGCAUCGAUGAAGAACGCAGCGAAAUGCGAUACGUAAUGUGAAUUGCAAAUUCAGUGAAUCAUCGAGUCUUUGAACGCACAUUGCGCCCCCUGGUAUUCCGGGGGGCAUGCCUGUCCGAGCGUCAUUGCUGCCCUCAAGCCCGGCUUGUGUGUUGGGCCCCGUCCUCCGAUUCCGGGGGACGGGCCCGAAAGGCAGCGGCGGCACCGCGUCCGGUCCUCGAGCGUAUGGGGCUUUGUCACCCGCUCUGUAGGCCCGGCCGGCGCUUGCCGAUCAACCCAAAUUUUUAUCCAGGUUGACCUCGGAUCAGGUAGGGAUACCCGCUGAACUUAAGCAUAUCAAUAAGCGGAGGA